AGCUAACGCGUUAAGCAUCCCGCCUGGGGACUACGGCCGCAAGGCUAAAACUCAAACGAAUUGACGGGGGCCCGCACAAGCAGCGGAGCGUGUGGUUUAAUUCGAUGCUACACGAAGAACCUUACCUGGGCUUGACAUGCAGGUAGUAGCGAAGCGAAAGCGGAGCGACCCUUCGGGGAGCCUACACAGGUGCUGCAUGGCUGUCGUCAGCUCGUGCCGUGAGGUGUCGGGUUAAGUCCCGUAACGAGCGCAACCCCUGCUCUUAGUUAUACGUGUCUAAGAGGACUGCCGGCGGCAAGCCGGAGGAAGGUGGGGAUGACGUCAAGUCAGCAUGGCCUUUAUGUCCAGGGCUACACACACGCUACAAUGGCCGAUACAAUGGGUUGCGAAACCGCGAGGUGGAGCCAAUCCUCCAAAGUCGGUCUCAGUUCGGAUUGCAGGCUGCAACUCGCCUGCAUGAAGUCGGAGUUGCUAGUAAUCGCAGGUCAGCAAUACUGCGGUGAAUAUGUUCCCGGGCCUUGUACACACCGCCCGUCACGUCAUGGAAGCUGGCAACACCUGAAGCCGGUGAGCUAACCCGCAAGGGAAGCAGCCGUCGAAGGUGGGGCUAGUGACUGGGACGAAGUCGUAACAAGGUAGCUGUAGCGGAAGCUGCGGCUGGAUCACCUCCUUUCUAGGGAGUAAG
Molecule: ribosomal RNA, 685 nt
Filed under: Candidatus Altarchaeales archaeon
Lineage: Archaea; Nanobdellati; Candidatus Altarchaeota; Candidatus Altarchaeia; Candidatus Altarchaeales
Description: bacterial SSU rRNA
Rfam family: Bacterial small subunit ribosomal RNA
Source: RNAcentral